CUUCAGCGAGCCGAGCCGCAGCGGCGGCCGCCCGUCGCGGUCCUGACCGUAGGUGGCCAGCAGGGCAUCCGCCUC
RNAcentral lists this antisense RNA (75 nucleotides) under Streptomyces malaysiensis. RNAcentral's name for it is "ASpks TB sRNA". It matches the Rfam family "ASpks TB sRNA". The record is from Rfam by way of RNAcentral. Lineage: Bacteria; Bacillati; Actinomycetota; Actinomycetes; Kitasatosporales; Streptomycetaceae.